UUGGGCCUAAGCGUCCGUAGCUGGUUUAGUAAAUUUCUUGUGAAAUUGUGGGGCUUAACCUUACAGCGUGCAAGAAAGACUGUUAAACUUGGAACCGGGAGGGGGUAGGAGUAUUCCUUGGGGAGCGGUAAAAUGCGAUAAUCCUUGGAGGACUACCUGUGGCGAAGGCGCCUACCUAGAACGGGUUCGACAGUGAGGGACGAAGGCUGAGGGAGCGAUCUGGAUUAGAUACCCAAGUAGUCUCAGCUGUAAACGCUGCGAGCUAUGUGUUGCAUAUUCUUUGAGGAUAUGCAGUGCCUAAGCGAAGGUGUUAAGCUCGCCGCCUGGGAAGUACGGCCGCAAGACUGAAACUUAAAGGAAUUGGCGGGGGAGCACAAGC
RNAcentral lists this ribosomal RNA (379 nucleotides) under uncultured euryarchaeote. RNAcentral's name for it is "bacterial SSU rRNA". It matches the Rfam family "Archaeal small subunit ribosomal RNA", at positions 504 to 883 of the family's 1478-position model. The record is from RNAcentral. Lineage: Archaea; Methanobacteriati; Methanobacteriota.